Molecule: long non-coding RNA, 977 nt
Filed under: Cricetulus griseus (Chinese hamster)
Lineage: Eukaryota; Metazoa; Chordata; Mammalia; Rodentia; Cricetidae
Description: lncRNA (ENSCGRG00000024616.1)
Source: RNAcentral
CGAGGGACAAGAGGGGCCUGAAGCAGGCUUCUGGGAAGACAUCUUUUUUUUUUUUUUUGGUCACUGGAUACAUCAGGCUGCUUUAUGACUUUUGGAAUUGUGAAUCCUAACCUCUGCAUGGCCAGCUAUCUACCAGAUGUGAAACCCUACGCUGGAACAAAUUACCUUUUACCAAUUCAGUUUCUUAAUACUGGGACUCAGCUUGGACUUCUGACCAAUGAAACUGUGGUCCCCAUUGUCACUGGGUAGUCAGCUUGUUUCUCACACUAUCCCCAUCUCUGUUCUCCAAGACUUUGCUGAAGGUAAACCAAAUAUCCCAAGACCCCAGUCAACUAGGGACUCUCACUGGCAACCAACACAACUUCAAGGACUGUGUACCUAACUAUAAACCAGGACUCCUCCAAGCAUAUCACUUGAUGCAAGCCUCUCAAAAACUGACUGGUACUGUUCUGUGCAUGAAGAAAGGAGGUCAGGAUUGAGGGGCGCAUAAGACAAAUGUGUUGUGUGUUCAGUUUCUUCUGCAGAAGAAAGUCCUAACAGUCGCCGUUAGAAUCUAUGGAUGCUCACAUCCUUAUAUAGCAACAUGUGCAUGUCAUCCCCUCACACCCUCACGGAUACUUUUAGUCAUCCGGAGAUGACUUGUAAUGCCUGAUACAAGGUAAAUGCUUUGCAAACAGUCACUGCACUGUAUUGCUUAAAGACUAAUGACAAGAAAAAUGCAAAAACAUGUUUGGCACUGGAACAUCUUGAACUUUAAAAAAUAUUUUCUGUCCGUCCUUGGCUGAAUCCACAGAUGCAGAGCCUACAGAUGUGAAGGGCACACAGCAUGUACUGAGUAACACAAGCACAGAAGGAAGGGCCAGCUGAACUGGGGGCAGUCCUUCUUGUUCAGCCUAUGAACCCAUGGGGGAAGCUCACAUUUCCACAGAGGAACACCAGGGAGAAGUGGGUCAUUUGUAAUAGGUGUUGAAUGCAGG